UACGAAGGGGGCUAGCGUUGCUCGGAAUUACUGGGCGUAAAGCGCACGUAGGCGGCUCUUUAAGUCGGGGGUGAAAUCCCGAGGCUCAACCUCGGAACUGCCUUCGAUACUGAUGAUCUUGAGUCCGGGAGAGGUGAGUGGAACUGCGAGUGUAGAGGUGAAAUUCGUAGAUAUUCGCAAGAACACCAGUGGCGAAGGCGGACUCACUGGCCCGGUACUGACGCUGAGAUACGAAAGCGUGGG
RNAcentral lists this ribosomal RNA (243 nucleotides) under uncultured bacterium. Its description in RNAcentral is "partial 16S ribosomal RNA". It matches the Rfam family "Bacterial small subunit ribosomal RNA", at positions 524 to 765 of the family's 1533-position model. The record is from RNAcentral.